UGUACGCGCACUGUAGAGUCGAAUUCAGACCCCAAAACAAGUAAGGACCCCUCAUCCUAUUUCCUAUCACGGUAUUAAAGCUAAAUAAAUAAUUAAACUGUACUGUGUGACCUUAUAGAUGCAUAAUUGAUUAAGGUUGCCAGUGGAGCCCGAGUCUGAUACAGUGUUGGUCUGUUAUUGUUCGAUUUAAUUUCCAGUAUUAAAUGCAGCAUGAUGUUUGAUGUAAUUAUGUUAUGGUCUCGUAUGCAUGAACUAUGGUUCCUUUUAUUAUGGUUUGUAUUAUGGUAAACCCGGUACUGUAUUGUCUUAUUUGGUGUCAAUUACUGGUUUACAUGUUUUG
This 340-nucleotide long non-coding RNA is filed under the name Carica papaya (papaya). Its description in RNAcentral is "long non-coding RNA (CPAP_LNC010443)". Lineage: Eukaryota; Viridiplantae; Streptophyta; Magnoliopsida; Brassicales; Caricaceae. The record is from RNAcentral.